AGAGUUUGAUCCUGGCUCAGGACGAACGCUGGCGGCGUGCCUAAUACAUGCAAGUCGAGCGAGCGGAACCAACAGAUUUACUUCGGUAAUGACGUUGGGAAAGCGAGCGGCGGAUGGGUGAGUAACACGUGGGGAACCUGCCCCUAAGUCUGGGAUACCAUUUGGAAACAGGUGCUAAUACCGGAUAAUAAAGCAGAUCGCAUGAUCAGCUUUUGAAAGGCGGCGUAAGCUGUCGCUAAGGGAUGGCCCCGCGGUGCAUUAGCUAGUUGGUAAGGUAACGGCUUACCAAGGCGACGAUGCAUAGCCGAGUUGAGAGACUGAUCGGCCACAUUGGGACUGAGACACGGCCCAAACUCCUACGGGAGGCAGCAGUAGGGAAUCUUCCACAAUGGACGCAAGUCUGAUGGAGCAACGCCGCGUGAGUGAAGAAGGUUUUCGGAUCGUAAAGCUCUGUUGUUGGUGAAGAAGGAUAGAGGUAGUAACUGGCCUUUAUUUGACGGUAAUCAACCAGAAAGUCACGGCUAACUACGUGCCAGCAGCCGCGGUAAUACGUAGGUGGCAAGCGUUGUCCGGAUUUAUUGGGCGUAAAGCGAGCGCAGGCGGAAAAAUAAGUCUAAUGUGAAAGCCCUCGGCUUAACCGAGGAACUGCAUCGGAAACUGUUUUUCUUGA
RNAcentral lists this ribosomal RNA (670 nucleotides) under uncultured bacterium. Its description in RNAcentral is "bacterial SSU rRNA". It matches the Rfam family "Bacterial small subunit ribosomal RNA", at positions 8 to 645 of the family's 1533-position model. The record is from RNAcentral.